AGAGCGAACGCUGGCGGCAGGCUUAACACAUGCAAGUCGAGCGGGCGUAGCAAUACGUCAGCGGCAGACGGGUGAGUAACGCGUGGGAACGUACCUUUUGGUUCGGAACAACACAGGGAAACUUGUGCUAAUACCGGAUAAGCCCUUACGGGGAAAGAUUUAUCGCCGAAAGAUCGGCCCGCGUCUGAUUAGCUAGUUGGUGAGGUAACGGCUCACCAAGGCGACGAUCAGUAGCUGGUCUGAGAGGAUGAUCAGCCACAUUGGGACUGAGACACGGCCCAAACUCCUACGGGAGGCAGCAGUGGGGAAUAUUGGACAAUGGGCGCAAGCCUGAUCCAGCCAUGCCGCGUGAGUGAUGAAGGCCCUAGGGUUGUAAAGCUCUUUUGUGCGGGAAGAUAAUGACGGUACGCAAGAAUAAGCCCGGCUAACUUCGCGCCAGCAGCCGC
RNAcentral lists this ribosomal RNA (446 nucleotides) under uncultured bacterium. Its description in RNAcentral is "SSU rRNA". It matches the Rfam family "Bacterial small subunit ribosomal RNA", at positions 26 to 518 of the family's 1533-position model. The record is from RNAcentral.